AUUGAACGCUGGCGGAAUGCUUUACACAUGCAAGUAGAACGGUAGAGGGGGCAACCCCUCGAGAGUGGCGAACGGGUGAGUAAUAUAUCGGAACGUGCCCAGUAGUGGGGGAUAACGUAGCGAAAGUUACGCUAAUACCGCAUACGAUCUAAGGCUGAAAGCGGGGGGUCGCAAGACAUCGCUCGCUCGGAGCGGACGAUAUCAGAUUAGGUAGUUGGUGGGGUAAAGGCUCACCAAGCCAACGAUCUGUAGCUGGUCUGAGAGGACGAGCAGCAACACUGGAACUGAGACACGGUCCAGACUCCUACGGGAGGCAGCAGUGGGGAAUUUUGGACAAUGGACGCAAGUCUGAUCCAGCCAUUCCGCGUGCAGGAUGGAGGCCCUCGGGUUGUAAACUGCUUUUGUACGGAACGAAAAGGUCUCUCUUAAUACGGGGGACUCAUGACGGUACCGUAAGAAUAAGCACCGGCUAACUACGUGCCAGCCGCCGCCGUAA
Molecule: ribosomal RNA, 496 nt
Filed under: uncultured bacterium
Lineage: Bacteria
Description: partial 16S ribosomal RNA
Rfam family: Bacterial small subunit ribosomal RNA
Source: RNAcentral